This 908-nucleotide ribosomal RNA is filed under the name Botryotrichum murorum. RNAcentral's name for it is "eukaryotic LSU rRNA". It matches the Rfam family "Eukaryotic large subunit ribosomal RNA", at positions 74 to 1016 of the family's 3401-position model. The record is from RNAcentral. Lineage: Eukaryota; Fungi; Ascomycota; Sordariomycetes; Sordariales; Chaetomiaceae.
AUUGCCCUAGUAACGGCGAGUGAAGCGGCAACAGCUCAAAUUUGAAAUCUGGCUCCGUAACGAGUUGUAAUUUGCAGAGGAAGCUUUAGGCGCGGCACCCUCUGAGUCCCCUGGAACGGGGCGCCACAGAGGGUGAGAGCCCCGUAUAGAUGGACGCCUAGCCUGUGUAAAGCUCCUUCGACGAGUCGAGUAGUUUGGGAAUGCUGCUCUAAAUGGGAGGUAAAUUUCUUCUAAAGCUAAAUACCGGCCAGAGACCGAUAGCGCACAAGUAGAGUGAUCGAAAGAUGAAAAGCACUUUGAAAAAAGGGUUAAAUAGCACGUGAAAUUGUUGAAAGGGAAGCGCUUGUGACCAGACUUGCGCCGGGCGGAUCAUCCGGUGUUCUCACCGGUGCACUCCGCCCGGCUCAGGCCAGCAUCGGUUCUCGUGGGGGGACAAAGGUCCCGGGAACGUAGCUCCUCCGGGAGUGUUAUAGCCCGGGGCGUAAUGCCCUCGCGGGGACCGAGGACCGCGCUUCGGCAAGGAUGCUGGCGUAAUGGUCAUCAGCGACCCGUCUUGAAACACGGACCAAGGAGUCAAGGUUUUGCGCGAGUGUUUGGGUGUAAAACCCGCACGCGUAAUGAAAGUGAAAGUAGGUGAGAGCUUCGGCGCAUCAUCGACCGAUCCUGAUGUUUUCGGAUGGAUUUGAGUAGGAGCGUUAAGCCUUGGACCCGAAAGAUGGUGAACUAUGCUUGGAUAGGGUGAAGCCAGAGGAAACUCUGGUGGAGGCUCGCACCGGUUCUGACGUGCAAAUCGAUCGUCAAAUCUGAGCAUGGGGGCGAAAGACUAAUCGAACCAUCUAUUAACUGGUUACCCCCCAAAUUUCCCUCAGGAAAGCAAGGUUGUUCUUCAGUUUUUUGAGGUAAAGCGU